AACGAAUGCCCUGCUGUCCAAUCACUUGCCACCAAAGAUUGUUGAAGUAGUGUGCUGCAAGCUGACUCCCUUACAGAUGACACUGUACAACCACUUCACACACUCCAAAAAUGUUAAGCGCUUGAUAUCUGAAGAAGCAAAGAGUACUAAAGUUUUGGCAUAUAUUACUGCUCUUAAGAAAUUAUGCAACCAUCGAAGGAUAUGUGGAGAGGCUUUUUGCACUGCAGUUCAAGACAUACUGUAGAUUACAUGGCUAAAGAAAAUUAUUUACGAUUAAUA
Molecule: long non-coding RNA, 279 nt
Organism: Triticum dicoccoides
Lineage: Eukaryota; Viridiplantae; Streptophyta; Magnoliopsida; Poales; Poaceae
Exons: 4
Source: RefSeq, a predicted model, not a curated record